RNAcentral lists this long non-coding RNA (2008 nucleotides) under Homo sapiens (human). RNAcentral describes it as "HSALNT0122400". Lineage: Eukaryota; Metazoa; Chordata; Mammalia; Primates; Hominidae. The record is from RNAcentral.
ACAUGUGUGUGUGUUUCUUUUAGAUAUUAAGGUGUAAUACAUUUUGUUUGAGAUUUCUCUACAUAAUUAGCGCUUUUUUGUGACCUGAGUAGCAAAUGUUUUUUUGAAAAAUUUUUGGUAUUUUAUUUGCAAUUAAAAGAUGUUUAAAAUUCUCACGACAUCCAAUCUAUCAUUUUGUUCCAAUUGUGGUUAAUUUUAUUAUUUUGUGUUUAGCAUGCCCUUCACCCACCAGAAAAUGGUCACUUCUAUAGCAAAUUCUAGAUUGAAUUCUUGAACCUAUUGGAAAUUUAUCUUGGAAAAUAAUAUAUGAACCUAUUUGUUUUUUUGUUACAACUUACAAGUCAUUUUCUUAACGUAAUUUGUCCUAGGCCCCAUUUUUUCUAACGAAUCCUUUAUCAUAUAGAAUAUAUCAUUAUACAUGCAAUAAUAUUAUAGUAUAUGUUAAUUUAUAUAUAUAUAUAUAUAUGUCUUCUCUGUGCCCAUUACCCUGUUCUUUCAAAAUCUGCUAGAAUGAAGGAAGGAUCUGAGGCUUCUCUUUUGUUUACUGUAUUUUUUUUUUUUUGAACUGGAGUUUCACUCUUGUCACCCAGGCUGGAGGGCAAUGGCAUAAUCUCAGCUCACUGCAACCUCCUCCUUCUGGGUUCAAGUGAUUCUCCUGUCUCCACCUCCCGAGUAGCUGAUAGUACAGGAGUGCACAACUACGCUUGGCUAAUGUUUGCAUUUUUAGUAGAGAUGGGGUUUCACCAUUGUUGGCCAGGCUAGUCUCGAAAUCCUGACCUCAGGUGAUCCGCCUGCCUUGGCCUCCCAAAGUGCUGGGAUUGCAGGUGUGAGCCACCGUGCCUGGCUUCUUGUUUACUUUUAAAUCCUUUUCACAAGGAAAGCUGAAACAAUGGAACUUGCCCUGUGAUUCUAAGAAAAUCCCGUGUAUGAGACCUGUGUGACAGCCACUCCUUCCCUCCAGUCCUGUACAAAUGACCACAGCACUGGCAGAUGCAGUCUGACUUUCCUAUCCCUGGAUAAUCCAUUUUUCUUAAGGUAGUUUGUAGAAGAAAGGUGAGCCCAGAGCUUGGAGACACACAAGUCUCUCUUUUGAAAUUAGGGGUGGGACGAGGGGAUUAUGGAGCAACUGCAGUGUGCAAGAUCCUGAGCGGGACACUGCCCAAGCCCUUUACCCCUCUCCCUCCACCCAUGAGGCAUGGGUCAUGAUGUACAGAUCACGGUUGAGGAAACUGAGGCCCAGAGAAGUUAGCUACCUAGACCAACAGGAAGGAGGGAAGUGAUGGGUGCUCCUGCUGGUUGCCUGUCACCAGAGCUGGAAAGCCACCUUAUUCAGAUCUGGGGCCUCCCCCAGUGGGCUCCUUGACAGGUGUACCUCAGCUCCAAUCCCAGAUGCUCCUCUGCCUCCUCCCUACUCAUGCUUACUUAUACUGUUUGAUCUUAGCUGGUAACACUUCUCUUUGCCACAGACAUCUAAAUGCCUUGCAGGCUUAUUGUCAAGGAUGAAAUGACUAGCCAAAAGGGUUUGCAUCAUGAAUGACCCCUAAGUAGGAUUCUUGAGAGAAGAGAGAAAGAGACCCCCCCCCAUAUUGUUCUAUAUUGUUUUAUACUCAGUAACUGUUUUAAGAAGAAACAAGGAAGUGAAACCAAAGGCAGGUAGCCCGGCACCAGGCCCCAGACCCAAAACCAGACCCCAAACCAGGCCUGGGCCUGCCUGAACUUAGCCUGAUAGUUAAAAUUCAACCAAUGACCUAGCAACUGAUGUUAUCCAUAGAUUCCAGACAUUGUAUGGAAGGACAUUGUGAAACUUUCCAUUCUGUUCUGUUUCACUCUGAUUACUGGUACAUGUAGCCCCUGUCACGUACCCCCCUAGGUUGCUCAAUCAAUCACGACCCUCUUAUGUGAAACCUUUAGCAUUGUGAGCCCUUAAAAGGGACAGAAAUUGUGCACUCAACAAGCUCGAAUUUUGAGACGUUAGUCUGCCAAUGCUUCCAGCUGAUUAAAGCCACUU